CAAGGCAGUGGAUUGUGAAUCCCC
Molecule: transfer RNA, 24 nt
Filed under: Dieteria canescens var. incana
Lineage: Eukaryota; Viridiplantae; Streptophyta; Magnoliopsida; Asterales; Asteraceae
Description: partial tRNA-His
Source: RNAcentral